UACGUAGGGGGCAAGCGUUAUUCGGAAUUAUUGGGCGUAAAGGGCGUGUAGGUGGUGCUGUAAGUCUGGCGUGAAAUUUUUCGGCUUAACCGGGAAAGGUCGUCGGAUACUGCAGGACUAGAGGACGGUAGAGGCGUGUGGAAUUCCGGGUGUAGUGGUGAAAUGCGUAGAGAUCCGGAGGAACACCAGUGGCGAAGGCGACACGCUGGGCCGUACCUGACACUGAGGCGCGAUAGCAUGGGGAGCAAACAGG
Molecule: ribosomal RNA, 253 nt
Filed under: uncultured bacterium
Lineage: Bacteria
Description: partial 16S ribosomal RNA
Rfam family: Bacterial small subunit ribosomal RNA
Source: RNAcentral